GGCGGCGUUGUCGAGCGCCGCGUGCCGCGAGGACCCGUCGGCCUGAGACACCGCGAAGUCGCUGUCGGCCGCGGCCGCCGCCAUCGUGGCCACCUGGCGCUGGUAAUCCAGCUAUAGGGGGAGGGGACACGUCAGGACACGCCCACUUCCUGUCACGUGGGGGACCACUUCCUGUCACGUGACUCCCACUUCCUGUUGUAAGCAACGCUCGCUUCCUGUCACGUGGCUCCUACUUCCUGUCCUAAGCCACGCCCACUUCCGGGUACGCACAACACUAUGUCUACUUCCUGUCACGUGGGAAACCAUUUCCGGUCCCAACACACGCCCACUUCCUGUCGUAAGCCACACCCACUUCCGGUUAUGCGCAACACUAUGUCUACUUCCUGUCACGUGGGACACCAUUUCCGGUCCCAAGACGCCCACUUCCUGUCGUAAGCCACGCCCACUUCCGGGUAUGCAUAACACUAUGCCUACUUCCUGUCACGUGGGACACCAUUUCCGGUCCCAACACACGCCCACUUCCUGUCGUAAGCCACGCCCACUUUCGGUUUUGCACGACCGCUUCCUGUUGUAAGCAGCGCCACUUCCGGUUAUGUUGGGUUUCAUUUCCGGCAGUAAGUCACGCCCACUUCCGGGUAUGUACUCGUCGCUUUCUGUCUUAAGCCACGCCCACUUCCGGUUACACUGCCAGUUAUUUUCCAUAAGCCACGCCCACUUCCGGCUAUGCGCAAUAACCACUUCCUGUCUUAAGCCACGCCCACUUCCGGACACGUGGUCAAACUCUCUUUCUGUACUAAGCCACGCCCCUUUUGGUCAUAUACACAAUGCACUUCCGGUGAUAUGCCACACCCCCCCGGAAGUCCCACCCAUAAAGUAAACCCCUCCCGGAAGUCCCACCCCCGGAAGUCGCGCUCACCCGGAAAUCCCACCCGCCGGAAGUCCCGCCCACCCGGAAGUCCCACCCACCCGGAAGUCGCGCCCACCCGGAAGUCCCACCCCCCGGAAGUCCCGCCCACCCACCUGUUUCUUCAUCUUUUUCCUUUCCUUUUUACUGAUUUGGGCCUUUUUUCCCCCCACUUCCUCUUCCUCUUUGGGGGUUGGACUUCCGGGGGUGGGACUUCCGGGGGCGGGGUCUAUUUUAGGGGCGGGACUUCCGGGUUUUUCGGCUUCUUCCUCUUCUUCUUCCUCCCCUUCGUCGGAGCCCAAAGCAGCAAAUUGGUUCUGGGGGGAAAAUGGCCGCCAUUAGUGGGACCCAUAGACGGACCCAUAGCCUGCCCUAUAGCCAGACCCAUAGCCUGCCCUAUAGCCUGCCCCAUAGCCUGCCCCAUAGCCAGACCCAUAGCUGUCCCCUCUGCCCCAUAGCCGGACCCAUAGCCAGCCCCAUAACCCCACUGCCCCAUAACUGGACCCACAGCCUGCCCCAUAGCCAGCCCUAUAACCCGAUAGCCGCAUACCCAGCCCCAUAGCCUGCCCCAUAACCCCACUGCCCUAUAGCCAGCCCCAUAGCCUCCCUAUAGCCCCACUGCCCUAUAGCCCACCCCAUAGCCUACCCCACAGCUAGCCCCAUAAACCCACUGCCCUAUAGCCUACCCCGUAGCCAGCCCCAUAACCCCAUAGCCAGCCCCAUAAUCCCACUGCCCUAUAGCCCACCCCAUAGCCUACCCCAUAGCCAGCCUCAUAAACCCACUGCCCUACAGCCUGCCCCAUAACCCCAUAGCCAGCCCCAUAACCCACCCCACAACCCCAUAGCCAACUCCAUACCCCAAUAACCCACCCCACAGCCCCAUAGCCCACCCCAUAACCCACCCCACUGCCCCACAGCCCCAUAGCCGACCCCAUAGCCGACCCCAUAGCCCCAUAACCCCCACCUGCCGCCUGCUGCAGUUCUUUUCAUUCUUCCUGUUCUUCUUCUUCCUCCCAUCUUCCUCCUCUUCUUCCUCGUCCUUCGACCCCAAAACAAAGUCAGCCCCACACUUAUGGGGCAGCCCCACAUCUCCCACCCCACACUUAGGGGGCAGCCCCACACGUCCCACCUUCUUCCUAUGGGGUCAAGAUCCUUCCCCCCCCCCCCCUCAGCCCCACACUUAGGGGGCACCACACACUUAUGGGGCAACUCCACACUUAUGGGGCACCCCACCACCCCCUUGGGUCCCCCCCCCCCCGCCCCCAAACACCCUCACCCCACACUUAUGGGGCACCCCAGACCCUCACCCCACACUUAGGGGAUACCCCACACUUAUGGGGCAGCCCCACACCUCCCACCUUCCUUCUAUAGGGUCAGGAUCCUUCCCCCCCACCCUUAGACACACUCAGCCCACACUUAUGGGGCAACUCUUCAUCUAUGGGGCACUCCAAACCCCCA
RNAcentral lists this long non-coding RNA (2362 nucleotides) under Coturnix japonica (Japanese quail). Its description in RNAcentral is "lncRNA (ENSCJPG00005001996.1)". Lineage: Eukaryota; Metazoa; Chordata; Aves; Galliformes; Phasianidae. The record is from RNAcentral.